AUUACAUGAUAUGAUGAUUUAACUUAUGCAUAGUUCAACUGAAUUAAAUUGAAGAUAAACUGUUACCAUCAAAUGUCUUUCACCCCUAUCUGACAUGUAAU
Molecule: small nucleolar RNA, 101 nt
Filed under: Komagataella phaffii GS115
Lineage: Eukaryota; Fungi; Ascomycota; Pichiomycetes; Pichiales; Pichiaceae
Description: small nucleolar RNA snR60/Z15/Z230/Z193/J17
Rfam family: Small nucleolar RNA snR60/Z15/Z230/Z193/J17
About the family: The members of this family belong to the C/D class of snoRNAs which contain the C (UGAUGA) and D (CUGA) box motifs. Most of the members of the box C/D family function in directing site-specific 2'-O-methylation of substrate RNAs. The family includes the yeast snoRNA snR60 (also known as Z15) and the corresponding human guide snoRNA U80 (SNORD80).
Source: Rfam by way of RNAcentral